RNAcentral lists this ribosomal RNA (164 nucleotides) under uncultured bacterium. Its description in RNAcentral is "partial 16S rRNA". It matches the Rfam family "Bacterial small subunit ribosomal RNA", at positions 355 to 511 of the family's 1533-position model. The record is from RNAcentral.
UAGGGAAUCUUCCACAAUGGACGAAAGUCUGAUGGAGCAACGCCGCGUGAGUGAAGAAGGUUUUCGGAUCGUAAAGCUCUGUUGUUGGCGAAGAAGGAUAGAGGCAGUAACUGGUCUUUAUUUGACGGUAAUCAACCAGAAAGUCACGGCUAACUACGUGCCAC